This 220-nucleotide long non-coding RNA is filed under the name Ricinus communis (castor bean). Its description in RNAcentral is "long non-coding RNA (RCOM_LNC003112)". The record is from RNAcentral. Lineage: Eukaryota; Viridiplantae; Streptophyta; Magnoliopsida; Malpighiales; Euphorbiaceae.
AACGCUUAUGUCUCAACUAACCUCAACUCUAUCAUCUCAAACCUCUCAUUCCAACAGGACUGGCGCCCAGAGAGCAAAGCUCGACCAGGGACCUUACCUCCAGUUCGGUCACUUAACUCUCAGCCUUAGCCUUUCGGCUCUCUUAUCCAAUAAGACUGGCGCCCAGAGAGCUUAGCUCGACCAGGGACCUUACCUCCAGUCUGGUCACUUAAAUUUCCAA